This 299-nucleotide unclassified non-coding RNA is filed under the name Hevea brasiliensis (rubber tree). The record is from RNAcentral. Lineage: Eukaryota; Viridiplantae; Streptophyta; Magnoliopsida; Malpighiales; Euphorbiaceae.
GUGGGUCAUGCCUCGUUUUCCCUUUAUUGUUUAUUAAGUGAAGUUUUCAUAAACCUUGAUCCUCGAUCAGAUAGCACUGCUUGUUUCCUAGAAAGGUUGGUGGAAUUUGCCGAAACUGAUAGGCAGAGACUCUUUGCUUGUCAUCAAUUGGGAUGUGUAAGGCUCUUGAGGAAAGAGUAUGAUGAAGCCAAACGUCUAUUUGAGGCUGCUUUUAAUGCAGGCCAUAUUUAUUCUGUUGUUGGGUUGGCUCGGUUAAGUCACAUAAAUGGUAACAAGCAAUGGUCCUAUGACAAGCUGAC